GGUGUCCGUUACACUGGGGUAGAGGAGUGGAAGUGGGCAGGUUUAUAUAGCACCCAGCGCCCCUCCCUCCUUCUCCACACUCCAUCAUGGCGAUGCAUAACAAGGCCACAACGCCGCAGAUUCCAGAUACGCGCCGGGAACUGGCUGAGCUAGUGAAGCGGAAACAAGAACUGGCGGAGACCUUGGCAAAUCUAGAACGUCAGAUCUAUGCUUUUGAAGGAAGUUAUCUGGAAGAUACCCAGAUGUAUGGGAACAUCAUCAGAGGAUGGGACCGUUACUUAACAAAUCAAAAGAACUCAAACAGUAAGAACGACAGAAGAAAUCGAAAGUUUAAAGAAGCAGAAAGACUUUUUAGUAAAUCUUCAGUAACUUCUGCAGCUGCUGUAAGUGCAUUGGCUGGAGUACAAGACCAAAUGAUCGAUAAACGAGAGCCAGGCAGUGGAACAGAGAGUGACAAUUCCCCAGACUUUCAGAAUCAGGAGAAUGAGCCUAGUCAGGAUGAUACAGAAGAUCUAGAUGGUUCCCUGUCAGGAGUCAAGCCUCAGAAAGCUGCAUCUUCGGCCAACUCUGGAGGACAUCACAGCAGUCACAAGAAACGCAAGAAUAAAAACCGGCACAGUCCAUCUGGCAUGUAUGAUUAUGACUUCGAUCUCUCUAUCUCCCGUUCCAGCACCGAGUGAUGCCUGCGGCCUAUGCUCAUGUGAUUGACCUCAAACUGAACAAAAAGCCCAGAUCAGAUUAUUAGUUUUGGUUACCUCUUCAAGCAAGACUUUCAAGAGAACAAACUUCCAGACCAAGGAUUUUCACUGUUAUUUCAACUAAGACAACAGCAUGUGUUCCUACAUUUAGCAAUUGUCAUGGUUUUUAAUGGAUACAGGCAAAGUUAUAGUAUGUGUAAACAGAUGCUUUCUAUGUGCCCUUGUUGCUUUUUGUUUCAAGCUCUGUUCACAGCUAUGUGAAUGAAAAUCUGCUAAUGCUACUUGUGGCUUUCUUUGAACCAACAGUCUGGUAUUUUGCUUCAGAGUUGAAUAGAAGCAGAUGGGGCAUGUCCUACUUCACCCCUUUUGGACACUGCACAGUGGCAAUCCCUUCUAAGCCAGAUUAAUGCUAGGUUUUGCAUUGUUUGAUUUUCAUUCACCUGCCUGUUAAGGUAAUACCUAAUGAAAGUGCCAGUUUACACAUACCUUUACUCUA
Molecule: RNA transcript, 1194 nt
Organism: Nanorana parkeri
Lineage: Eukaryota; Metazoa; Chordata; Amphibia; Anura; Dicroglossidae
Gene: MEAF6
Gene name: MYST/Esa1 associated factor 6
Exons: 9
Source: RefSeq, a predicted model, not a curated record